GACAGUUCACUGUCAGUGUCUGUGUUUAUGGAAAUGAGCUGCAGAGGGAAGCAGUGUCCAAACAAAGCAGAGAUGUUAUCACACACACACACACACACCAGUUUGCAUGUCAGUGAAGCUCAGCGUUAAUUAAGGUCACAAACACUACAUUUGUUUACAUCAUUUUUCUAAAACAAAAACUCGCCAGAGUGCAACUCCAAGUUUUUAAAGGGACAGUCGUCCCUUAUUACACCGUUGACUCAAUGACACUGUCACAUGUCACCACUAGUAGUGGUGACAUGUGACAGUGUCCACAAACCAACUGUCCACAAACCAAAAUGAUUCAGUUUGAAUGAUUUAUUUGUUAUAUAUGGAGCAAAAAAAGGCAGAAAACCAGGACUAAACCAGGACUAAAAAACUGUAGAACAUAGGUCCAAACCAGGUCUAAACCAGGUCUAAAACACUGUAGAAUAUAGGUCAAACCCGGUCUAAACCAGGACUAAAACACUGUAGAAUAUAGGUCUAAACCAGGAUUAAAACACGGUAGAAUAUAGGUUUAAACCAGGACUAAAACUAUGUAGAAUAUAGGUCCAAACCAGGUCUAAACCAGGUCUAAAACACUGUAGAAUAUAGGUCUAAACCAGGACUAAAACACUGUAGAAUAUAGGUCUAAACCAGGACUAAACCAGGACUGAAACACUGUAGAAUAUAGGUCUAAACCAGGUCUAAACCAGGACUUAAACACUGUAGAAUAUAGCUCUAAACCAGGUCCAAACCAGGACUAAAACACUGUAGAAUAUAGGUCUAAACCAGGUCUAAACCAGGACUAAAACACUGUAGAAUAUAGGUCUAAAUCAGGACUAAAAGGACUAAAACACUGUAGAAUAUAUAUAAACCAGGUCUAAACAAGGUCUAAACCAGGACUAAACCAGGACUGAAACACUGUAGAAUAUAGGUCUAAAUCAGGUCUAAACCAGGACUAAAACACUGUAGAAUAUAGGUCUAAACCAGGACUAAAACACUGUAGAAUAUAGGUCUAAACCAAGACUAAACCAGGACUAAAACACUGUAGAAUAUAGGUCAAAACCAGGACUAAAAUAUAGGAGAAUUCAGGUCUAAACCAGGUCUAACCAAGGACUACAACACUGUAGAAUAUAGAACUAACCCAGGACUAAAACACUGUAGAAUAUAGGUCAAAACCAGGACUAAAACACUGUAGAAUAUAGAACUAACCCAGGACUAAAACACUGUAGAAUAUAGAACUAACCCAGGACUAAACGGUAGAAUAUAGGUCUAAACCAAGUCUAAACCAGGACUAAAACACUUGUUCUGAGUGUGUUUGUAUCAGAGGAAUUAUUUCAACAUGAAAACUGAUUACGUGAACAGAACUGAACUAUAAAAUCAUAAAAACACUGUAGUUUGUCUCCAGAUGUCUGGAUACUGAGAGUGGCUCCACCCACACUCUGGGGACACGUGUGUGUGUGUGUGCGUGCGUGUCUGGGCGGAGGCCGGCUGAUCUCAGUCCUUCUGGACGUUGUCACCUCUGAUCUCACUGUUUCAUUCCUCUCUCGUCCACGUUGAUAUUUAAAUGACAAGUAUUUCAUGUUCAGGAAACUUCAGCACCAUGUUUGUGACGUCUUUAACUGCACUGCGUUUGUCUGACACGCGUUCACGUCUUUGUCUCACUGUUACGCACACUUUUACACCAGGAAAUUGUUUGUAAAACACUCAAUCUCACACACCAAAGUCCAUAGAGAAAAUCA
This is a long non-coding RNA of Solea senegalensis (Senegalese sole), 1742 nucleotides long. RefSeq lists it as uncharacterized. Lineage: Eukaryota; Metazoa; Chordata; Actinopteri; Pleuronectiformes; Soleidae. The transcript has 4 exons. The record is from RefSeq and is a predicted model, not a curated record.